This 330-nucleotide long non-coding RNA is filed under the name Vitis vinifera (wine grape). Its description in RNAcentral is "long non-coding RNA (VVIN_LNC002557)". Lineage: Eukaryota; Viridiplantae; Streptophyta; Magnoliopsida; Vitales; Vitaceae. The record is from RNAcentral.
UAGCCCUAAAUUUGAACCCACUCUUUACAACUGCCUACAUCUACCGCCCCAAACCCUAAAACACCAACCAAUAGAACCAAGAAAUCAACCACCGAAACCGUAGAGAGUCCUUCCCUGCCUUUUGAGGGCAUAAACAACAUCCAUAGCGGUCACAGUCUUCCUUCUGGCGUGCUCAGUGUAGGUCACAGCAUCGCGAAUCACGUUCUCGAGGAAAAUCUUGAGAACGCCUCUGGUCUCCUCAUAAAUGAGACCGCUGAUCCUCUUCACGCCUCCUCUCCUCGCCAAACGACGAAUAGCAGGCUUGGUGAUACCCUGAAUGUUAUCCCGGAG